RNAcentral lists this ribosomal RNA (469 nucleotides) under uncultured bacterium. RNAcentral's name for it is "partial 16S ribosomal RNA". It matches the Rfam family "Bacterial small subunit ribosomal RNA", at positions 28 to 507 of the family's 1533-position model. The record is from RNAcentral.
GACGAACGCUGGCGGCGUGCUUAACACAUGCAAGUCGAACGGAAAGGCCCUGCUUGCAGGGUGCUCGAGUGGCCAACGGGUGAGUAACACGUGGGUGAUCUGCCCCUUACUUUGGGAUAAGCCUGGGAAACUGGGUCUAAUACUGGAUAGGACCAUGCUGUAGGUGGUGUGGUGGAAAGAUUAGUUUCGGUAAGGGAUGGGCUCGCGGCCUAUCAGCUUGUUGGUGGGGUAAUGGCCUACCAAGGCGUCGACGGGUAGCCGGCCUGAGAGGGUGGACGGCCACAUUGGGACUGAGAUACGGCCCAGACUCCUGCGGGAGGCAGCAGUGGGGAAUAUUGCACAAUGGGCGCAAGCCUGAUGCAGCGACGCCGCGUGGGGGAUGACGGCCUUCGGGUUGUAAGCUCCUUUCAGCCAUGACGAAGCCCUUGUGGUGACGGUAGUGGUAGAAGAAGCGCCGGCUAACUACGUG